Molecule: RNA transcript, 1465 nt
Organism: Belonocnema kinseyi
Lineage: Eukaryota; Metazoa; Arthropoda; Insecta; Hymenoptera; Cynipidae
Exons: 5
Source: RefSeq, a predicted model, not a curated record
CCAUUCUUAAUUUCGAGAAAGUACAUCUUUUCUCUACAAAAGCUUUAUUUUAAAAGUUUUUUUUUUCAGCAAAUUUUCAUUACAAUAGAAAAAUUCGAUGGCGUCUCUGGAAGGGAGUCCAAAUUCGGAAAGUGAAAAUCAAAAUCAAUUUCCAAAUUCCAAUGUCAAAAAUAGUUCUCUCUCGAUGGAUCAGGUUCAAAUUAGCGAAGAAGAAAAUGAGAUCGAAAUGGCCGAGACAAACAUUUUGAAUUCCUCGAAUCAGGAACCUGAUACUUCGGGCGAUUGGUACGGGGAUAACAAGUUUAACUUGACUUGUAUUCCAAAUGAAAAUGAAGAGGCGAAAACUACUUGGAAACGUAGAAAUCUUUAUAGCAUGCCUAAUUCGAAGUUUCAAGCCUAUUGGAAAGAUCGAUUUCCGGAUUCGAUUAUAGGAGAACUUCAUUCAGAAAGUUCAGAUCUCAAAACAGGAGAACCAAAUUUGCUCUCGAAUUUUAGAGAUUUCAUUGCCACUUAUCAAGAAUCUAAUGGCACACCUCCAACUGAAUUUUCUUUUAUAUCUCUAAUUAAAGUCUUGGCUGAAGCGAUUGGAAAAUCUUUACUUGCAUUGAUUUACAUUAUUGUAAACAUGGCUCCACUUAUUGAGAUUUUUUUGUACAUACUGAGAUUUAUUCUGGACAAGUUGAUCAGCAUUCGAGCCGCAGAAGAUUAUCAACAAAUGAUUAUAAAAUCAGUUAUUUUUGUGAUACAGUCGCUCUGCAUUUAUAUUUGUCUACUUUUCAUUUUUGGGUUUAUUCUUAUGCCAAUUGUACGACUGGCCUUUGAUAUCAUGGCCAGAGUUUUUUUGUUUAAUCGAUGAAAUACAGAAAUAGAAUCCAGGAGAAUACUUUAUUUCUUAAAGAUUUUAUUCUUAGAGAAAUCACAUUUACCUUAAAAUUUGGAAAGAGCAGUGGAAUGGUGCAGAAUACUAAAACUCCUGAAUCCAGCCGGUUACAAACAGAAGAGUUUGGAUGCCCUCCAUUAAAUGUCUCAUAAAAACAUAUAGAACUUCUAUAAGUAUCUAAUUGUUCGUAAUGGUUCCUAUUAGUAGUACCACUUAGAGAAAAAUUGCCACGUAGAAAAUCUACAGGAUUUUCAUGCCGACACAUUAAGUCCCGAAGCAUCUACAUGGAUUUAUAUGUAUGCUCCGAAUCUGUCAUCUACAUGGAAUUACAAAGAAGAUUUGAAGUGGUUACUAUAUGGAUAUACUAAUCGGAUUUUUUUAACAUUGUGCGAAUUCCCUACUUCUUUAUGGAUUUAUAUAUACUGUCCUAACAUGUAAUCUAUAUGUAAUUGCAAAUAGGAUUUAAAAUGUUUUCUAUAUGGAUUUUAUAAGUGCACACUAAUAGACAAAUCUGUACGAGGUUUAAUAUACACGUGUGUGAAGCAAAUAUGCACUACCGCUACUGAUAUGUAACAUGCAUUGGUG